GGCGAUUCUCGGGUGAUGCUCCCCAGAAUCAGGCUUCCUCCUCGCUGGAUCCGGGUGCAUCACCCAAGAACCGCU
Myotis davidii is the source of this 75-nucleotide non-coding RNA. NCBI's taxonomy places the organism in Eukaryota, Metazoa, Chordata, Mammalia, Chiroptera, Vespertilionidae. The record is from Rfam.